This 393-nucleotide ribosomal RNA is filed under the name uncultured soil bacterium. RNAcentral describes it as "bacterial SSU rRNA". It matches the Rfam family "Bacterial small subunit ribosomal RNA", at positions 26 to 399 of the family's 1533-position model. The record is from RNAcentral.
AGGAUGAACGCUGGCGGCGUGCUUAACACAUGCAAGUCGAACGAUGAAGGCUGGAGCUUGCUCUGGCUGGAUUAGUGGCGAACGGGUGAGUAACACGUGAGUAACCUGCCCCAGACUCUGGGAUAAGCGCUGGAAACGGCGUCUAAUACCGGAUACGAGCUUCCACCGCAUGGUGAGGAGCUGGAAAGAAUUUCGGUCUGGGAUGGACUCGCGGCCUAUCAGCUUGUUGGUGAGGUAAUGGCUCACCAAGGCGACGGCGGGUAGCCGGCCUGGAGAGGGUGACCGGCCACACGUGGGACUGAGACACGGCCCAGGACUCCGUACGGGAGGCAGCAGGUGGGGAAUAGUUGGACAACAACGUGGGACGACGAAGCCUGAUGCAGGCCAACGCCG